RNAcentral lists this ribosomal RNA (253 nucleotides) under uncultured bacterium. RNAcentral's name for it is "partial 16S ribosomal RNA". It matches the Rfam family "Bacterial small subunit ribosomal RNA", at positions 524 to 776 of the family's 1533-position model. The record is from RNAcentral.
UACGGAGGGUGCGAGCGUUGUUCGGAAUCACUGGGCGUAAAGCGCGUGUAGGCGGCCCACUAAGUCUGAUGUGAAAGCCCGGGGCUCACCCCCGGAAGUGCAUUGGAAACUGGUGGACUCGAGUCCCGGAGAGGAGAGUGGAAUUCCUGGUGUAGCGGUGAAAUGCGCAGAUAUCAGGAGGAACACCGGUGGCGAAGGCGAUUCUCUGGGCAUGUUCUGACGCUGAGGAGCGAAAGUGUGGGGAGCGAACAGG